UGCCUCAUGUAAAUAGAUAAGAGGUCCAUCCUGCCCAGUGACCUACGGGUUAAACGGCCGCGGUACCCUGACCGUGCUAAGGUAGCGUGAUAAAUCGCCCUUUAAUUGUGGGCUUGUAUGAAAGGACAAACGAAAGCUAUACUGUCUCUAGGUAAAACAUUGAAAUUGUUCUUCAGGUGAAGAAACCUGAAUAAAAUCAAAGGACAAGAAGACCCCGUAGAGCUUAAUACUUCCAAAUCUACAAAAAUAAAUUAAAUAUAUUAUUUUUAUUCAUCACUAAGUAUUUAGCUGGGGCGGCUAAGGAAAAUAAAUCUUCCAUCUAAAAUAUAAUAGAUUUUCUAAUCAAAACAAUAAUUGACCCUUACUAAGAUCAGAGAAUACAGCUACCUCGGGGAUAACAGAUUAAUUCUUCUUGAGAGUUCGCAUUGACAGAAGAGAUUGACACCUCGAUGUUGGCUUAGGGUAUCCUAUAGAUCAGCAGCAGUCUAUAAUGGUAGGUUUGUUCAACCUUUAAAACCCU
RNAcentral lists this ribosomal RNA (520 nucleotides) under Melinna albicincta. RNAcentral's name for it is "partial 16S ribosomal RNA". It matches the Rfam family "Bacterial large subunit ribosomal RNA", at positions 1830 to 2597 of the family's 2925-position model. The record is from RNAcentral. Lineage: Eukaryota; Metazoa; Annelida; Polychaeta; Terebellida; Melinnidae.